GCUGAUAUAGCUCAGUGGUAGAGCUCUUGCCUCUCAUGUGUGAAGUCCUGGGUUCAGUUCCCAGCAUUACA
RNAcentral lists this transfer RNA (71 nucleotides) under Cricetulus griseus (Chinese hamster). It matches the Rfam family "tRNA". Rfam says of the family: Transfer RNA (tRNA) molecules are approximately 80 nucleotides in length. Their secondary structure includes four short double-helical elements and three loops (D, anti-codon, and T loops). Lineage: Eukaryota; Metazoa; Chordata; Mammalia; Rodentia; Cricetidae. The record is from Rfam by way of RNAcentral.